Molecule: ribosomal RNA, 429 nt
Filed under: Bacillota bacterium
Lineage: Bacteria; Bacillati; Bacillota
Description: Firmicutes bacterium partial 16S ribosomal RNA
Rfam family: Bacterial small subunit ribosomal RNA
Source: RNAcentral
UGGGGAAUUUUGGACAAUGGGCGCAAGCCUGAUCCAGCCAUGCCGCGUGCGGGAAGAAGGCCUUCGGGUUGUAAACCGCUUUUGUCAGGGAAGAAAAGGUUCUGGUUAAUACCUGGGACUCAUGACGGUACCUGAAGAAUAAGCACCGGCUAACUACGUGCCAGCAGCCGCGGUAAUACGUAGGGUGCAAGCGUUAAUCGGAAUUACUGGGCGUAAAGCGUGCGCAGGCGGUUAUGUAAGACAGAGGUGAAAUCCCCGGGCUCAACCUGGGAACUGCCUUUGUGACUGCAUAGCUAGAGUACGGUAGAGGGGGAUGGAAUUCCGCGUGUAGCAGUGAAAUGCGUAGAUAUGCGGAGGAACACCGAUGGCGAAGGCAAUCCCCUGGACCUGUACUGACGCUCAUGCACGAAAGCGUGGGGAGCAAACAGG